RNAcentral lists this ribosomal RNA (344 nucleotides) under uncultured bacterium. RNAcentral describes it as "bacterial SSU rRNA". It matches the Rfam family "Bacterial small subunit ribosomal RNA", at positions 1 to 334 of the family's 1533-position model. The record is from RNAcentral.
CUAGCGACUUCAGAGUUUGAUCCUGGCUCAGGAUGAACGCUAGCGGCAGGCCUAACACAUGCAAGUCGAGGGGCAGCGGGAAUGAGGCUUGCUUCAUUUGCCGGCGACCGGCGCACGGGUGCGUAACGCGUAUGUAACCUACCUUAAACAGGGGCAUAACACUGAGAAAUUGGUACUAAUUCCCCAUAACACUUUUGAAGGCAUCUUUGGAAGUUGAAAGUUCCGGCGGUUUAAGAUGGACAUGCGUUGUAUUAGUUAGUUGGUGAGGUAACGGCUCACCAAGACGACGAUACAUAGGGGGACUGAGAGGUUAACCCCCACAUUGGUACUGAGACACGGACCAA